Molecule: long non-coding RNA, 3986 nt
Organism: Papaver somniferum (opium poppy)
Lineage: Eukaryota; Viridiplantae; Streptophyta; Magnoliopsida; Ranunculales; Papaveraceae
Exons: 10
Source: RefSeq, a predicted model, not a curated record
CCUUGACGACUAACACCCUGUUAGAUUAAUUGAUUUCAAUCUUCUUCUUUCUCCUUAGGUUUAAUUUCUGCAACAAAAGGAGGAAAAAGAAAUCGAAGCAUGAGGAACCUAUCUAGAGAGAGAACUAGAAUCAACUCAACGAAGGGGGAGAAGAAGCUCCGCCGCAUCCUCCAGAUGCUUCACGCCCUACCCCAAUACCAUUAAGGAGAAUGUUUGAAACGACGACUUCAUCAAACUGUAUUGCUAAUUAAUUCAUAGAAUGGAAUCCAUUAAACAGGAACUACACUAAACCUAAAACAUGGUCGGUUCUUCCCGUUAAUGGAAAUUUACUUAUUCAACUUCAACUUUAAUCUUUAACAAAAUCAGAUUCAGGCUUAUGCAGAACUACUCCAGUAAGAUGGUACAAGGAUACAAGCAUGGUUCUUUUUCAGUUCUAAGGAUGGUGUAAAUGUGAAAUUAACUGCACCACUACUCUAUUUAUUCAUUGAUUGAUUAUGUUCAUCCAGAAGUUGUGCUCAAGACUUUCUUCUGCACCGACAAAUUUAGAGGCUAAUAGGGGAGCAUAAGCCAUGUUCUCGAUGAUGAUAAAUUAACUAUGAGAACAGUGGUAGACACACAAUGGGAUUUUUAUGUUGAUGAGCGAAUGCAGGUUCCUAACUAUUAUUCAAUGGUGAUGUGAACGGAAAAAUGACGCUUGCUCAUGUGGCAAUUGCGCAAGGGAUUUCAGGUACUAAUCUCAUACUGAAUCUUACUUGAGAGGCACUUAAAUUAUUAUUUUAGUAAUUAUUAAAGAUGGGAUCGCUGGGAAGUAGCACUUAUGAUUGUUAGGUGGCCAAUGGGGAUGCGGAUUCUCUAUCUAGACUGCCAUAAAACAUUGUAAAUGAGAGAGAUGCAAGCCUUGCAUGGUGUAUGUUAAUAUUCCAAUUAGUAGAAAGUAGUAAUCUUCAGGAAUUGGAUCUCAAAGAGGGACAGGCUAAAUUGAUCCUAACGCGCCACCAUAAAUCCAUAUGUAUGGCUAUGGGAUUGAAAAAUAUGCGGGGUAAGAAUCUUUGCUUACUGAAAUUCUUCAAACCGUUAGAGUUUGGAAGAAAGCCCAUAUUAGCGGAAAAUGUAUAGGAGGCAUUGGUUCGAUUGACCAAAAAAGAAUGUGAUGCAGGGGUAUAUUCUGUUUUCUUUAGGGUGCAGGUUUUCUAUUUAGAUUGUGUUACUAGGAUGUAUCUGUAAAAGAGGGCAUUCUGUGAAGAUGCCUGAAGUCUCAGAGUUACAUCCGGUGCCUGAUGCUUAUGUACCUCUAAGCUGUAUUACUUUAUCCAAUUGAAUGGUCAACAAUUAUAUAUGUAGAACGGACAACAGAGUGAGUUGACACAGCUCAUUAGUAUCUUCAUCACAAAGUGAGCCUUACACUGCAUAACCAUUAGGGAAGAUAAUUAUCUUCAGUAAGUUGAGCACCGUGGACCGCUGAAUUGAAGUGUAUGGCCCGUAGCUACCGUUACAAAAAGUAAUGGUCUUUGCCUUAGGUUAUCCAUGAAUAUGUUCUUUUGUACAUUUCAAGAAAACCUAAAAUCUAUAACGUUCAACAGGAGAUAUAUUGUACUCUUUAACAUGUGUAUAUUUGAAAGGAUGGUGGCAUAAUCGUUGUAUAUGAUAGAGAUGUUACGAGGAACAUUUUGCGAUUUGUUCUUUAUUUGUGUUGUUUGGACUGUAUUCAUGUGGUUGUUGCUUGCUUUUACACAAAUUGGUAAAUCCUAGCAGUAAUAGCAUACUCAGCUCAGAGAAGAAUUGUUCUGAGGCUGCAUUUUAAUUAGACUACCCGUCCUUUAUACCCUUUUCAAGUUUUGAAGUCCCCUCAGUUAUCGAGGUUCUGACUAUUGUGUUAAUAUAGAAGGGUGUCUCAGAUAUAACCAGUCUACUUGAUUUUUUUCGUAAACUUAACUAACUAUACGUGUUAUCCAGAUAUAUCUCGCUAAUUAAAUUUGUCUCAGUAUGCCAACACGAAGAUACAGUCAGAAUACCUAGGGAACUCUGGGUUUCUGUAGAUCAAUGUGGACCUUUUCUCAUGAUGAGCUUGCUGCCGUCAGAUCCUGUUAAUGGAUGGAUAUAUGACUUUCAUAAGUGUGGUUUGAUAUACGUGAUUAGAAAGCUUCCGCUUCUAUUUGUUUAUGAUUUGAGACAUGUAUCGCGGUUUACAUAAACCAAAGUAGUCAAGAUCCUUUUUUACUGUACAAGCUACGCCAGAAAUUUAGGAGUCGGAGUUUAUAACAUUGAUUUAGGAGGCAAAGUAUAAUUACAAAGACGAUGCAGAGGAAUGGAAAAAUAAGAACUAUGGAAGCUCGAUGCAAAGGGGUUCUAUGGAGAACACAAUCUUUGGAUGGGCAAACCUACUGCAAUGUUCUACAGUACUGGGUCUCAAGGUGGUGGUCAGGAAAGAAUUGCGUAAGUCUCCCUAUGCUCUCUCUACCUAAGCACUAACAAAUUAUCCGCUUCACAUUACACCUGUUUUUCUAUUUUUCUAUUACUGCUACUACGGGUCUUCUCCCCAGUUGCGCAGAAGCCUUGGAUUCUUGCUUAUCUGUUUUUAUUUUUGAUAUUUAAGCAUCCUUUACAGGCUUUAUGUUUUCAGGAAAUGUAGGAGGAAAAAUUGUUCAUCUUAGGAGCACUGCAUUAGUUGAUAGUCGAUUUAACAAAAUUUGUAUGAAAGAUUCCACAAGUUUGUAUGAAUGUUCCAUAAAAAAACACGAGUUCGUUCAAGAUUUGAAAGAAGAAUUAAGGUGUUGGUGUCGACAAGUUAGGGUCUAAGAACUCUUAGAUGUCAGAUUGCUCUAGGAGAAAUGUGACAUGUAAGCUUUUGUUGGCAAAAUCCUUAGUUCUAUACCUUAUUCGGGUACAAAUGAUCAUUCUUUAGAGCCAUAACUUUGUAACUCCGGGCUCCAUUGUUUUAAUCAUUUGCUUAUCUCUGUUCAUGCAUUUAAUUGAUUGUCUUAUGUUCCAAAUGCUUUUGAUGCACCACCGUUAGUCAGUGAUAUAAAUCGGGCCAACUAUAAGAUUCCAUUUUGAGCAGAUUCAUAUCACGUAGCGCUUUCUUUAGUAUUUUCUGCCUAGGUGAGUGCCUCAGCAUGUCUCUGUUGAACAAGCAAUAAGAUCCUUGCGUGUAAGUUGUCUUUCUGAUCUGUUUUACUCAAAGCUCAAUGAUCAUUAAGAGUGACUUGAUCAUGAAAAGAGAGUACUCACCGAAAUGGUGUAAUGAAAUUAUAAUUGAUACUUCUAUACGUUUUUAGCCAGCACCUGAUACGUAUACCUCAGGUUAGCCAUGUGUAACUUCUUUUGUACAUCUCAAGCAUUUCUAAACAGCUAUAAUGUUCAACUGGAGCUAUAUCAUUGUAUUCUUCAUACACUUUGUAAUUUCGGCUAGCUUUCGACAAUUAUGUAGCAUCUAAUUAUUUGUAUUGCCGGAACUCACAUCCCUAAUAAGGAAGAAACAAUUUUUGUUGGCCUGAGGCGGCUCUUUGUUGUCUUUGAAAAUGUGUGGAAGCUGCUAUUCAUUGCAGCGUCUUUACACCGUGAGUUGUCUCUUGUAUCCACCACACCUCUCGAGGUCCAAAGCAAUUUUUGCUGACUGCUUCAACUUAUCUCUUCCCCAAAUAGGGACAAGUUUAGUAGGUGCAGCGAUCGCAAGAUUAAGGUUGACUUCAACAGGCCAUGGAGCCUUCAUAAAGCCCAAGAUUCUCUUUCAAGAUCCUAUGGAAGGGUUAUAUUCAGUGUUGAACCAGCAAUAAGAUCCUUGCAUGUAAGUUAUCUUUCUGAAGAUCGGGUAUGAAAUUAUAAUUGAUACUUUUUAAGGAAUUGAGGAGACGACCGUACGGAGGAGACUCCUCGAACCGAGCGCAAUGUUAAACCUCACAGAUGCACCGCUGCAAAGGGGGUGUUUUAGAUUCGAGAGAUCAAUCUGUAGCACUCCGGCCUAAAUCAAGACAAUGACCGUUUCAGAG